Non-coding RNA from Pectinophora gossypiella (pink bollworm), 66 nucleotides. Lineage: Eukaryota; Metazoa; Arthropoda; Insecta; Lepidoptera; Gelechiidae. The record is from the annotation of a RefSeq genome assembly.
GCCCGGAUAGCUCAGUCGGUAGAGCAUUGGACUUUUAAUCCAAGGGUUCAAGUCCUUGUCCGGGCG